Chinchilla lanigera (long-tailed chinchilla) is the source of this 1109-nucleotide long non-coding RNA. RefSeq lists it as uncharacterized. The transcript is spliced from 3 exons. The record is from RefSeq and is a predicted model, not a curated record. Lineage: Eukaryota; Metazoa; Chordata; Mammalia; Rodentia; Chinchillidae.
UCCUAGUUCUGUCCUAGAGGGCAGCUUCACACCCUGAGUAGUUUAUUCUAGCCUCCAACACCUCAGCUUCUGCAUUUCUAAAAUGGGAGUAAUGAUUCUACCUCCCUCCUCUGUCGCAGUUUGAAGCAAGACUAUGUGGGCCCUUGCAUGGAGCAGGCAGGCCCUGAGCAGAACUGGAAUUGUCUUCAAGAAACCCUUGCUGCCCAUUUGGAGGGCGGUGCCAUGUCACAUAAGGUUUGCAUGUGGCAAGCACUGCCCAGGAGAUCCAGCUCUGAAUGUUAAAGACAGAUUGGAAGCAUCCACGGGCCAACCCUUUUGAAGAUGCCAAACCAGGAAGCACAACUGCCUGAAAAGUCAGCCGUGGCCCCUGGGAGGCUGGAGACAGGGGAAAGAAAACUUGAGAGGUUAAAAUGAAUGAAAAAUAUUUAUUGAUGAUGUGUGAAAAUAGCUUGAUAAAUAUGGCCAUACUGUCUGAGGGUGAACAUGCAUGGAAGAUCAAUUUUGCUAAAAAUCACUAACAAAUAUGUACAAUUCUCAAAACCAAAAACUGCAAUGUUCUAUUCGUUACCAAUAUAUAGGAUCGUUGGGCCAGGAUCUUAAUUUGAAAGGUGGGGCCAAGCCAAAUCUUCAAGAGUUGUUUGGCAACCCUGACAACUGGCAAAGUGAAGAGAAAUUGGUAAACAGUGUUUUUAAAAUACACUAAAUGCCAAGCAAUCUGUAUUUAGUUUCAAGUGUAUAUUUAUGGAUCUCGGCAGCCAUUUUUCAGGAAUAGCAGUUGCAAGUACCCAACUGUUCCAAAUCUCCAGCCUAUUGGAAUAUGUUUGUAAUUCCAAUGGUCUCCCAGAGGAGAUGGACAAACCAGGACAGAAGGCCCAUAAAUAAAAACUGAGCAGAAUUCAUGACCAAAGCCCUUCUGAAGUAGACCUCAAGGGGAACAACUUCCUUCCAGGCACAAGUCUCCAUUCUUGCACUUCCCUGGGCUUCCUGGACUCUUGGAGCCAGCAUUUCUUAUACCCUUUAAUAACCAGCUAAGAUUAACACAGCCUAAGAAUUAUUAAGCUUUUUUGUUUGAAUACUGCAUCUAAGAGUAAAAAUAAAUAAAUGAAAAA